Molecule: ribosomal RNA, 253 nt
Filed under: uncultured bacterium
Lineage: Bacteria
Description: partial 16S ribosomal RNA
Rfam family: Bacterial small subunit ribosomal RNA
Source: RNAcentral
UACGUAGGGUGCAAGCGUUAAUCGGAAUUAUUGGGCGUAAAGAGCUCGUAGGCGGUUUGUCGCGUCUGCCGUGAAAGUCCGGGGCUCAACUCCGGAUCUGCGGUGGGUACGGGCAGACUAGAGUGAUGUAGGGGAGACUGGAAUUCUUGGUGUAGCGGUGAAAUGCGCAGAUAUCAGGAGGAACACCGAUGGCGAAGGCAGGUCUCUGGGCAUUAACUGACGCUGAGGAGCGAAAGCAUGGGGAGCGAACAGG